Molecule: long non-coding RNA, 1675 nt
Filed under: Capra hircus (goat)
Lineage: Eukaryota; Metazoa; Chordata; Mammalia; Artiodactyla; Bovidae
Description: lncRNA (ENSCHIG00010008893.1)
Source: RNAcentral
AGCAAGACACACAGAUUACAAGGUGGUGGAAGUUGGGGGGUGGGCGAGAGGGAGCCCAGGAGACACGGGUCGUGGGGUGAAGUGGGAGGAGAAGGAAGCCUAAGAUGCCGGCACCCAGGAAGGGACCCGGGGCGUCCGGACCCCCAGGCUGAGCCCCCUUCGCGGGCUUUUGGCCUGGGUCACGAGAGUGGUCCCCACCCCCCCGGGAGCCCCAGGAGGAGCUGUCCCGGCGCCUCCGGCGGCGGUGGGGGCUGCUGGACAGAGCCGGGAGCCGCGGGGAAGGGCUCGGGGCGCCUGGAGCACCCACCUCUCCCGGCCGCCGUGCUCCUCCCGCUGCCUCGGGGCCCCCGCAGCCCCCGCCCGGCCGGCCGGAGGGCGGGCGAGGAGGAAAACCAGCCAACCGAGGGGGCCCCGCAGUUCCCGCGAGCCUCCGGGACCCGAGCGCGUGCCUGCCGCCCUGCUUUGCUUCUUGGCUUUGUUGGCAUGAAGGUUCUUGACACUUGGGUUCUUUCCAGAUGCCCCUUCACGUGGCUGACGCACAAUGACGGUGGGUUCUGUUUUGGUUUGGUUUCAUAGUGGUUUAGUGUUCCGUGGGUGCAGACUGGGGAGAAAAGCAUUUUGCUGUUCUAACAAAGCCCUUUGUAUCCGACGUCCAACUAGAGAAAUAUUUUUAUGAAAAGCAACUUUUGAUUACUCUGGAAAAGUUAGAUGCUCUGAACAGAAUAGGGCGGGGUGGUGCUUGGAGGCACUUUCAGGAUCAUGAGUUUGAUUUGGCGAAUUGUUCAAGAUGCAUUUCCUUAAGUGGCAGUUUUGUGAGGGGACUGACAGAGGGGAAAAUGAGCAAACUCAUUCUGUAAUAUUUAGAUUGACGCAGUAAUCAGGAUUGACACAAAAUUACUCCAGGAGGGUCACUAAGACUUGAGAAGGUAAAAAUCGAGAGUGUCAGAUGACGAAGCAGGCCAGUGGCGUGGAACUGAGGAUUAUAUCCAGAGGUUGGAAUGAAAAAAAAAAGUAAAUGGAGGAGAGAGAUCUUGUUUCUGUAUCCUGUUUUGCAUCUGGUACUGAAGCAGGGACAUGAAUUGCUGAUGGUAAUGGAGUCCCUUUUAUGAGGGCAGCAAUAUUAUAUAAAUAGUGGUAGUUUGAGAGGGAGAAAUGGCAAGUUCCCCACUGGUGUGUGUGCACACUGUUUUUGAAUGUCUCUUAAAUAUAUCUAUAAAGUGGAAGGUCAAAAUUGGAUACCAGCAUAGAAAUAGGACUUAGAGAGUAAUAGUUUAUUUUGAAGGAAAUGAAUUAAAAAUAGACCAUCUUUUCUUUAUUCUUUUGAGAUAUGGUGUUUUCCAGGGGUCUUAUUAAACAUGGAAAAGAGAGUGCUGAGGUUUGGGUGGUAUAAUUGGAGAACUCUUUCAUGAGAUUGCUGAUAAGGAUAACUUCAUGUAAAUAGCCCCAGAAAGAAUGCUUUCUUUAAGCACAUUAUCUGGUGAUUCAAGGGUAGGGGGAAAACUGGGACCAAAGAGACCUCUGAAACCUUAUCAGGGUUUUUUUGUGAACUGUAAUAUAGAUGUCCAUCUGUUGUUUUUUUGUUCCUUGAAAUGUAAUGUUCAAAUUGAAUUUUUAGAGUUCUAAAAAGUAGAGUUUGUUUAGAAGAGACCUUCCCUUUUAUUUUGCUACAGAUAUG